AGUGAACGCUGGCGGUAGGCCUAACACAUGCAAGUCGAACGGCAGCACAGUAAGAGCUUGCUCUUACGGGUGGCGAGUGGCGGACGGGUGAGGAAUACAUCGGAAUCUACUUUUUCGUGGGGGAUAACGUAGGGAAACUUACGCUAAUACCGCAUACGACCUACGGGUGAAAGCAGGGGAUCUUCGGACCUUGCGCGAUUGAAUGAGCCGAUGUCGGAUUAGCUAGUUGGCGGGGUAAAGGCCCACCAAGGCGACGAUCCGUAGCUGGUCUGAGAGGAUGAUCCGCCACACUGGAACUGAGACACGGUCCAGACGCCUACGGGAGGCAGCAGUGGGGAAUAUUGGACAAAGGGGGCAAGCCUGAUCCAGCCAUACCGCGUGGGUGAAGAAGGCCUUCGGGUUGUAAAGCCCUUUUGUUGGGAAAGAAAAGCAGCAGGUUAAUACCCCGCUGUUCUGACGGUACCCAAAGAAUAAGCACCGGCUAACUUCGUG
RNAcentral lists this ribosomal RNA (492 nucleotides) under uncultured bacterium. Its description in RNAcentral is "partial 16S ribosomal RNA". It matches the Rfam family "Bacterial small subunit ribosomal RNA", at positions 29 to 507 of the family's 1533-position model. The record is from RNAcentral.